This is a long non-coding RNA of Oncorhynchus keta (chum salmon), 309 nucleotides long. RefSeq lists it as uncharacterized. The transcript has 6 exons. Lineage: Eukaryota; Metazoa; Chordata; Actinopteri; Salmoniformes; Salmonidae. The record is from RefSeq and is a predicted model, not a curated record.
GAGAGGGGAGAGACAUGGGAAUCAUUUAACAGGUGAAGGGGGAGAGAGGGGGAGAGACAUGGGAAUCAUUUAACAGGUGAAGGGGGAGAGAGGGGGAGAGACAUGGGAAUCAUUUAACAGGUGAAGGGGGAGAGAGGGGGAGAGACAUGGGAAUCAUUUAACAGGUGAAGGGGGAGAGAGGGGGGAGAGACAUGGGAAUCAUUUAACAGGUGAAGGGGGAGAGAGGGGGGAGAGACAUGGGAAUCAUUUAACAGGUGAAGGGGGGAGAGAGGGGGAGAGACAUGGGAAUCAUUUAACAGGUGAAGGGGG